AGCGAACGCUGGCGGCAGGCUUAACACAUGCAAGUCGAGCGCCGUAGUAAUACGGAGCGGCAGACGGGUGAGUAACACGUGGGAACGUACCUUUUGGUUCGGAACAACACAGGGAAACUUGUGCUAAUACCGGAUAAGCCCUUACGGGGAAAGAUUUAUCGCCGAAAGAUCGGCCCGCGUCUGAUUAGCUAGUUGGUGAG
RNAcentral lists this ribosomal RNA (200 nucleotides) under uncultured bacterium. RNAcentral describes it as "partial 16S ribosomal RNA". It matches the Rfam family "Bacterial small subunit ribosomal RNA", at positions 29 to 256 of the family's 1533-position model. The record is from RNAcentral.